This 30-nucleotide non-coding RNA is filed under the name Mus musculus (house mouse). Lineage: Eukaryota; Metazoa; Chordata; Mammalia; Rodentia; Muridae. The record is from RNAcentral.
UAAUGUUUUUGUUCAUUAGAAUCUGUAGUG